UUUAGCCAAAUCAUGUGAUGUUUCUGAUAAGCCGAAUAGGAUAUGGUUUGCUUGCUUGCAAUACAGUUGCAGCUAACUACUGUUUCUGCUUUGCUGGAGGAGGCUAACAGUUCCCAGAGAUGGCUGAAGAUAUCAAUGAGCCAGGGGAUACUCUUAUUUAUGGUUUAACAGGCUUGAAUACAAUGGGAAGAAAAUGGCAAGAAAGAAGCAGCGGCGAUGAGUCAGCCUCAAAAAUGAUACUCUGCAGCGAAUCACAGCCAGCCACCAGAGAGAAGCAAAUGUAACCACAGGACAUGUGACAGAGUUGAUGGAUACCCUAUGUUCAUCAAUGGACAGAAAGUUCCACAGAAUGGAAUAUAAUCACGUGCUAUCAGAAACCGCUGCACUUGAUGUCACGUCCUGACCCUAGUAAGAUGUCAUUUUCUAUAGUAGAGUAGGGCAGGGCACAACAGGGGGUGUUUUGGGUUGUUCUAUGUUUUCUAUUUCUGUUUUUAAGUUCUAGUUUUUCUAUUUCUAUGUUGGGAUUGUUUGGGGUUGAUCUCUAAUUGGAGGCAGCUGAUCCUCAUUGCCUCUGAUUAGAGAUCAUAGGGGUUUUUAUCUUCCUGUUUGUGGGUUAUUAUCUUUUGAGUAGUGUGUUUUCCUCUCUGCGUCAUGGGUUGUUGUUUUCAAGUAAUUUAAGUGUUUUGUAUUUCAGUUUCACGUUUAAUAAAUAUGUGAAACAACGAACACGCUGCAUUUUGGUCCGCUCCUUCGAACAGCCGUGACACUUGACCACAGGUUUAAGAAGUUAGCCUUCAGUGAUGCCAGAGCGAUUGAUGCUCUUCAAAGAAUAAUCUCAGCAGCAGGGAGGGACAGCCUCAGCAGUCAGCUGGCUCAGGCACCAGGGCAACAGGAAGAAGAGGGAUCAGAUGGAGCAGAAGCACCAGCAGUAGUGCCACAAACGUCUGCUGUUUGACGAGAGAGCAACUGGGGAUGCAGCACGAAGGAAUCCCUCAGCAGAUGCCAUUAUGGAGGUCCGAUCCUAUUUGGAGGAGCCCCUCCCUUCUAAGCUGGUGGAAGAACAAGGUCUCUGUCUACCCACGGCUCACUAAAGUCAUGACAGGGAGACUCUACAUAGUGGCCACAUCCAUUCCCUCUGAGAGGGUCUUCUUGAAACCGGGACAAAUAAUUACUGAGAGAAGAAACCGCAUCAGCCCCUCGAAAGUGAGGCAGCUUGCAUUUCUUAAUGCAAAUCUCUCAUAAAAGCAAAAUAUGGUCAGCAUUGCUGUGUGCUGCUGCUCAUAACAUGGCAAUAAAGAAGAGAGAGAAAAAAAGGGACCAGUUUAAUGUUUUAAGUGGGAUGCUGCAGUUUUGCACAUUGUUAUUUAUUUUUAUUUGAUAUGGUGCAAUAUUCUAUUAUGCUGUUCAGAUUGUAUUAGUUUUGAAUGGUUAGA
This 1433-nucleotide long non-coding RNA is filed under the name Salmo salar (Atlantic salmon). RNAcentral describes it as "lncRNA (ENSSSAG00000093291.1)". Lineage: Eukaryota; Metazoa; Chordata; Actinopteri; Salmoniformes; Salmonidae. The record is from RNAcentral.